Jaculus jaculus (lesser Egyptian jerboa) is the source of this 705-nucleotide long non-coding RNA. RefSeq lists it as uncharacterized. The transcript has 3 exons. NCBI's taxonomy places the organism in Eukaryota, Metazoa, Chordata, Mammalia, Rodentia, Dipodidae. The record is from RefSeq and is a predicted model, not a curated record.
UGGCAGAAAAGGACUCCCAUUGACUGAACCUUUCGACGAAGGCCAUGGAGCAGAGACCAAGGGUCAAACCAACCUUCAUCCUCCAUUCCUGAGGGAAACUUGUUCUGUAGCUGUUCAGCAGACAUUAGACAAAUCUUGGCCCCUUCCUGCCUGAGAGAAAUGUAUGCAAGUGACUAUAGGAAUUAGGGCUUCUCUCUACUGAGCCCCAGACUGUCAACUGCACUGUCAUCUCCACUAAGGUAUCCCAGGCGCGCAGAACAGCAGGUCCGGAUAAACUCCAUAUUGCAGUACCCGCUAACGCAUGAUACCUCUAACUGGUCCCGUAUCCUGAGUAUUUAUUACCAACAGCACCAAUCUUCCAUUUAUGUAGACCAUUAAGAAGGGCUUCACUGGGAUUUAGGCACUUGUCUAGGCUCCAUUAACUGACAGGUUUCUCAGUUCUCCCAGCCAACUCGUUCUCCUACCAGGGGGACCAGGGUCUCCAGUCUAAAGUCACAUGUGUGGAGUUUGUGGGCACCCCAGAACCACUAUUCCCCUCUGCUGUCCACUUUACCCAGGGUAAAACUUCCUCUACGCGUGCCCAGUCCCCGGGUUAAGCGGCCUGGGCCCAAGCCAAGCUGCAGCACUCUCCGAAACAUAGCCGUUCUGAGCCGGUCUCCGCGGCGUCCGCGGCCUCCGAGCCCGACUCAGGACCUCGAGGUCAUC